AUUGAACGCUGGUGGCAGGCCUAACACAUGCAAGUCGAACGAGUGGCGGACGGGUGAGUAAUGUCUGGCAAACUGCCUGAUGGAGGGGGAUACCUACUGGCAACGGUAGCUAAUACCGCAUACCAUCGGAUGUGCCCAGAUGGGAUUAGCUAGUAGGUGGGGUAACGGCUCACCUAGGCGACGAGUCCUAGCUGGUCUGAGAGGAUGACCAGUCACACUGGAACUGAGACACGGUCCAGACUCCUACGUGAGGCAGCAGUGGGGAAUAUUGCACAAUGGGCGCAAGCCUGAUGCAGCCAUGCCGCGUGUAUGAAGAAGGCCUUCGGGUUGUAAAGUACUUUCAGCGGGGAGGCGUUACCCGCAGAAGAAGCACCGGCUAACUCCGUGCCAGCCGCCGCGGUAAUAC
RNAcentral lists this ribosomal RNA (406 nucleotides) under uncultured bacterium. Its description in RNAcentral is "partial 16S ribosomal RNA". It matches the Rfam family "Bacterial small subunit ribosomal RNA", at positions 30 to 526 of the family's 1533-position model. The record is from RNAcentral.